CUGGAAAAUCGGAUGGCCGCUGCGUCCCUUGCGGGCGGAGAGGAAAGUCCGGGCUUCACGGAAAAACGGCGCCGGGUAACGCCCGGGCAGGGUAACCUGACGGAAAGUGCUGAAGAAAUUCAAACCGCCGAUGGCCCGAGAGGGCACAGGUAAGGGUGAGAAGGUGCGGUAAGAGCGCACCGCGCGUCUGGCAACAGAGGCGGCAUGGUAAACCCCGCCGGAAGCAAAACCAAAUAGGCGCUCCGCUAUGGUGCUUUUCCGCACCGGAGCGCGGGUCGGUUGCUCGAGGUGUUUGGUAACAAGCGCCCUAGAUGAAUGGCCAUCUCCGAUUUAUCGGAACAGAACCCGGCUUACAGAUUUUCCAGCCUG
Molecule: RNase P RNA, 369 nt
Filed under: Alphaproteobacteria bacterium
Lineage: Bacteria; Pseudomonadati; Pseudomonadota; Alphaproteobacteria
Description: RNase P RNA component class A
Rfam family: Bacterial RNase P class A
About the family: Ribonuclease P (RNase P) is a ubiquitous endoribonuclease, found in archaea, bacteria and eukarya as well as chloroplasts and mitochondria. Its best characterised activity is the generation of mature 5'-ends of tRNAs by cleaving the 5'-leader elements of precursor-tRNAs.
Source: RNAcentral